AUUCUCAGUUCGGAUUGUAGGCUGAAACUCGCCUACAUGAAGCUGGAGUUACUAGUAAUCGCAGAUCAGAAUGCUGCGGUGAAUGCGUUCCCGGGUCUUGUACACACCGCCCGUCACACCACGGAAGUUGGGGGCGCCCGAAGCCACUUAGCCUAACCCUUUUGGGAAGCGAGUGUCGAAGGUGAAAUCAAUAACUGGGGUGAAGUCGUAACAAGGUAUC
RNAcentral lists this ribosomal RNA (220 nucleotides) under uncultured bacterium. Its description in RNAcentral is "partial 16S ribosomal RNA". It matches the Rfam family "Bacterial small subunit ribosomal RNA", at positions 1284 to 1500 of the family's 1533-position model. The record is from RNAcentral.